GCAGCCAUGUGGUGAGCACAAAG
Molecule: small nuclear RNA, 23 nt
Filed under: Arabidopsis thaliana (thale cress)
Lineage: Eukaryota; Viridiplantae; Streptophyta; Magnoliopsida; Brassicales; Brassicaceae
Description: snRNA_13973
Source: RNAcentral